RNAcentral lists this ribosomal RNA (472 nucleotides) under uncultured bacterium. RNAcentral's name for it is "bacterial SSU rRNA". It matches the Rfam family "Bacterial small subunit ribosomal RNA", at positions 917 to 1382 of the family's 1533-position model. The record is from RNAcentral.
GGACCCGCACAAGCGGUGGAGCAUGUGGUUUAAUUCGACGCAACGCGAAGAACCUUACCAGGGCUUGACAUCUUCCGCAAUCUUAGGAAACUAGGAGUUCUGUCCUUCGGGACGGACGGAAAGACAGGUGGUGCAUGGUUGUCGUCAGCUCGUGUCGUGAGAUGUUGGGUUAAGUCCCGCAACGAGCGCAACCCCUACUUUUAGUUGCCAGCAGGUAAAGCUGGGCACUCUAGAGGAACUGCCGGUGACAAACCGGAGGAAGGUGGGGAUGACGUCAAAUCAUCAUGCCCUUUAUGUCCUGGGCUACACACGUGCUACAAUGGCCGGUACAGAGGGCAGCUAAGCCGCGAGGUGGAGCGAAUCCCAAAAAGCCGGUCUCAGUUCGGAUUGCAGUCUGCAACUCGACUGCAUGAAGUCGGAAUCGCUAGUAAUCGCGAGUCAGCAUAUCGCGGUGAAUACGUUCCCGGGUCUU